This 63-nucleotide transfer RNA is filed under the name Popenaias popeii. RNAcentral's name for it is "tRNA-Tyr". The record is from RNAcentral. Lineage: Eukaryota; Metazoa; Mollusca; Bivalvia; Unionida; Unionidae.
AACAAAGUGGCCGAGUUCAGGCAAAAGAUUGUAGCUCUUUGUACGGGUCAUUCCCCUUUGUAC